UUUUUUUCCUUCCCUUUUUUUUUUUUUUGUUUUUAGGGAGAAAAACUUGGGAGAACAGUUUCACUUCCGUGGAUCCUCCCCCCGUUUGCUCUUAUAUUUCUUUCGACACGCUUGGCUCUUUGUGUGUUUCCAGCCAGGCAGCAGCAGCAGCAGCCGACCCCCACCGACCGACCGAUUGGCUUAUGUAUUUGAAACUCAAACGCUGUGGUCUUCUACAACGCCCUAACGUUCAUCCAGCAGGAUCAGUUACAACUAAUCUGUUUAAUCAGCCAUUUAUUUUCCUUUGGAAAAACACACACAGGAGAGAAGAGACCAACGGAACUGUAUUUUUUCUUCUUUUUUCCCCUGGAAGAGACCAAAUAAAAAAGGGAAGAAACAUCCCCCCGGUCCGUCUUAGCCUAUACGCAGCUGGGGUGAUGGCCAUCAUUUCGAAAUGCAUCCAUCAUCAAGUUUCCACUCGAGAUGACUUCAAUCAACAACAAGGAAGCGGGAAAAAAAAGUCCGUUGUGACUUUACCCCGUUUUCUAAAAGUGACGGAUCGUUCGUGCCAGACUUAACGACCCACAAAAACUUGAAUAGUUUUUCUUGUCAUGUUUGUUGUUGCGGGGGGAAGAGAAAUAAAAAUGAGCCGGCCGUGACGGAGAUAUCGAUAGAUAGCCCGUGAGUAACCCAAUCAUGCUACUAGUAUACCUGGGCACAACAAACCACUUGGCCGCCAUCAUUGAAGCGCAAGUGCGAAUGAUGUUACUAGGGGAAAAAAGAAGAAAAAUGCGCACCGCAAUAGUUUCAUAUAACGCGCCGUCUUGAUUUUGGUUUUUCUCACAGCCAGUGAGAGAAAGAGAGAGAGAGAGAUAUAUGUGCGCAAGAGUGCGGAACAACACCAGCUGUUGCUACCAUUUUUAAAUCAAUAGAUGCGGAGGUUAGGAGCGCGGACGGGCGGCAUGUGCGCGCGCGAUUUCUCCUCGGCCGCAUCCCCUGGCUGCCCCUGACUGGUCAGUCGGCUGAUGAGCUUAAACAGGUAGUCACUCACAAGUAGGCCUAAAGCAGAUGGUAGACUGGUCAAAAAACUUUGGUUGGCAAACGAGAGGAGGAACAAGCCCCCACCAAAUGCUAUAAGAAAGAGAAUGAGAGAGAGAUAAGAUGGAGGGGUUUUGGGUGUUUCGAGGGGGGAAAAAUAAAUAGAAACAGAGCAGGUGUUGGCUUAGAUAUCUUGAGGAGGAGGCACGUGUUUACCAUAUGAAAUGUGGAAUAACUUUCGUUUCUGUAUGUGUGGUGGUGAUCGACAGAAGAAGAAGGGAAACAAACCACCAAACAUCUCAGAAAUAUACAAAUAAUAAAAGGUCAGCCAGUCUGUGUGUAUGUUGAUGACCGGGGCUCCAGCUUGGCUUGGCGCCGAAUUAGCAUCAACUGUCGGAAUAUUUAGCCUUUGCGCUCAUCUGAAUUUGUGAUGAAACGGGAGAAAAAGAAGAAAAAGGGUCCUCGACGCGUAUCGGAAAUGAAACAGUCUGCAUUGAUGAACGUCGUACACUACAAAUUGCCUAGCGCGUUUCGAGUAGUUCGUGACUGCUGCCGGCGACGUUCAAUAAUUCAUGGUCAACAACUCAAAACAUUGGGGCUUUUCAAACGAAAUCGACACAUAUUCGGCAGGGGCUCGGUAGGGGGGACCCGAAGAGAGUCACGACUCUCUUCGGCUUUUUACGAUGGCGGCCAGGGGGGCCAGCAAACACACGCAGCUCUUACAAACGUUACAGAAGAAAAAAAGAGCGCAUCUCUUCUUCAUCCCGAUCAGCGCUUCUUGUCGCAUCUUCUUCAACUGGUUUCAUAAUAAAUGAGCCAAAGCAGGUGUUGAACCUCUCUCUUUCCUUCUCCCAAAUCGAUCAACUUCCAGGAGGGGGGAAAAUAGAGAGUCACUGAUCCAGACUCGGGGAAAAAGCGCAAGGAGAUUGACAGAUGUGACGAAGCAUGCGUCUAUAUAAUCCUGUGACAUCUGCCGCCUCCAUGUUAUUUUCUUCGUCCUCCCUCUCUCUCUCAUGAUGGUUGGGAGGUGGGGGGGAAAGAAACUUUCAACGGAGACAUCGUCGUGCAGCUUGAUGAAAGCCUGUCACGGGCAUUCGUUACGUGUUUGUCACAGUCUAAACUCGGCUAAGUGCUGAUUCGACAAAAAAAAGAGCGGCGAUAUAUUCCUGGAUUUUAUUUUAUUUUCCCCUUCCUUCCCGGAGCACACACACACAGACAGACGUCAUCAAUUUAUCAUCCAUCGAAUGCAUUACCGCCCGUCUAGAAAGAGCGACGGUAAUAGUCGACGGAGAGCUGUGAGAGGAAAUUGCAUUUUUCUAUUUACGGUUUUACAGCGCAAUUAGCCAUCGUCUUCAAUAGAGCCAAGUAGUCAUUCUUUCGCUCGGGUGCGACUUUUAAACUGGAAAUGACGACCAAUUUUCUCUCAGUAUUUUUGUUUUUGUUUUUUUAGAGCGGAAAUGAAACUUGUCGGAGCAAUUUGUUGAUCACUUUUGAAAUCAAAGUUGACGUUCACCUGAUCGUUUCAACAGUUCUCUCUCUCCCUCCUUUGAAAUAAACUUGGUCCCGUCAACGAGACUAUUUACGAUUUCAAGCUCCGCCCUUCAAUUAAAAUGCGUUGCGGCGGACUUGACGAAAGGCAUUUUCGGUUAUAAAGACGGGAGCAGAAUGCAGAAACUCCCAUGAAAAGAAAAAAAACAAAAAAACUGCUAUGCUCGAUAGAAAUAAACAGCGUUUUUGAAAAUAAACAGUAGAAAUACAUAUUUUCUACAUUGCCGGGCCAACGCCUUAUUCAAAACGUGCACAGGGUUAUUUCUUUUUUUUCUUUUAAGACCAUCCGACCAACUUUUGAACGCACACACAAGAAAAAAAAGGGUAAUAAAAAGCCGAGCCACUGGACACCCAUGAUGUAGUUUCAUUUCCACAAAGAGUGCAUAACUAAUAACGGAAAAUGCUAUAUAAGAGAAGACGACGAAAGGAGCAGAAGAGAAACAACAAACAAACAAGAAGAUUGAAGACAAGCCCCGUUAUGAGAGGUAAAAGUUCAAAAAUGGAUUUCUAUCUUUUUUCCUUCCCUUAUUUUCUUGAUGGGGCUCUUCUUCAGCCCCGACAGGCCCCAUAUCAAACCAAAAGGCAAAAAUGCGGGGCUGUAACCAACAAAAACAAAAAACCUACUAGGCUCCUCUUGUAUUUUAUUUUUCUUGAUUUAAUAACAAGGACGAUUACGUAUUCAAACAAAAAAGAAAAAAACAAAAAGUUUUAUAUCUAGGUCUUUCAUCUUCUUGUCAUGUGUCACUUCUACUCAACUGAUGAAGACAACGACUUUGGGUUUGUUUUUCUUUUCUUUCGCUUCAUCCGUCUUCUUAUAUAAAAAGAUAUCAUAUCAAAAUAUCAAAAUAGCGAUAAUUUUCAAAAAAAGGCCAGAAAAAGCAACGAUGCCAUCUAACGGUUAAAAGAGCCGUUUAAGCAAAGCUAGUCUACUACAACCACCGAAUCCUGUUGACGAGACCCUCCCGACGACAGCCAAGGCAAAAAGAAAAUAAAAAUCCGGACCGGUUCAUGACUUGACAGUCUUUUUUUUCUGACAUUUGAAACGAAAGAUAACAAAAAAAAAAGUCAAUAUAAUAUUCGAAUGAGGCCGCCGACGUCAUCGGAUGGUGUCAUAUUGUCUUAAUAUUAUUCGUUAUCUCGACGAACCAGACAACCGAAAAGCCUCUCUUUCAUAUUUUUGAACUAGAAAAUAAUUAAUGAUUUUUAUUUUUUCAUCACUGAUAAAAAAAUUAAUUAUUCAAAAGCGACAGUUAGAAUUGCGCAACGAGGGGCGAUGUUUUUUUCACGAGGUGUUCACAGAGGCUGAAAAAUUAAAAAAGGAGAGCCGCACACAUAUUCGUUAUAAUGGUCGCAAUGAUCUCAUCGGGUAGCCAAAGAACGUGUCUGUUAAUAAAUGCGAUAACGGAACCGGACUUUGAAUGUGGCACGAACCCGAGAGAGUUCCUUGACUGAAUGUUUCUUAUAGACAUUAGACUUCCAUCAGUCAUUAGAUUUCAUCCGUCGUAAUCCGUCAUGACGACAGCGAUGAGAAAAUGGGUGUUACAACGACUCCGCCCUGGUUUUUUUGAAACCAAAACACAUUGGAAGAAAAAGAAACCCAGCCCCUUUCAUUUCAAAUUCCUCCUUUUUCGUUUAUCCCCCCCCCCCAUCGGAAAAAAACAAAGUUCCAUUCGUCUAAAUAUAAUCGAUUUCAAGUGUUGGGUCAUCCAAUACAUUCACCCCCCUCCACCAUCACCCUUCUUCAGUGUCUGAUGUAUAUUCAAGAGAAAGAGGUCUAAACGACUUUCAAUUCUUCGACUUUAUACAGGCAUGGCAGCUCGGCAUUGUCUGAGUGAAAGGACAUUAGUAAAACUCGGCACGUAGUUUUAGAUACAUUUUUUCGUACAUGCUAUGUCAUUUGGUGCCAGGUCGAGCGUCAAGGUAACGCAGACAUUUCGGUUGUUUGUUUUUUUCGGAAAGAAGAAAACAACAACAACAACAACAACCGAAUAAAAAUCAAGAAAAACAAGAGGGAAUGCGUUGCUGGCCAUGUUUGGGAUGAAUCCCGCGGCGCUGCAGUUCAAUUCGGAGGGGGGGGGGAAGAAGAAGAAAACAAUGCCUACAACACACGUCGGCACUCCACUCACAAUAAUUGGAUGGCAAACACCUUUUCAAUGUGGAAUGAAUCCUCCGUUAAACAAAAAAUAUAAAAACUGGCAAGAUAACAACAAAUCCUUUUCUUUCUUCUUUUUUUCCCGAUUGUCAAGCGCCAAGAAAAAAACGGAAACCACACACACUAUAGUGACUAUACAUCUAUCCGAAAUCGAGGUUACGGUGCAUCACGAAAACAACGAAUGGGGCUCCGGAAGCUCUCGUGACAAAACAAGCUCAAAUAAAUCGUCAAACAACUGGGCGUCCGAAACGGCGCUCACCCAAUCAUUGACACCGAAUUCCCAUUUUUUCUCGUUACUUUUCCUCUUUUUGUUUUGUUUUGUUUUCAAACAGAAAAACAGAACUUGGCAACGCUCGCCUGUACACACGAAUCGGCGUAAAAAAGGGAGGGUAAAAACAAAAACAACCGACAAACGAGACGAUGGAUGAUUCACGUAAAGGAUCCGGUACUAGUACUACUACUCUCUGGCUGGCUGGAUGGCUGGCUAGGGCGGAGGUCCUCGUCCAUCAAUCCUUGGGACGAAAAAGAGGCUGAACAAUUUUUGUUGUUUAGCGUGCAGUAAAGCAUUGCGUCAAAGAAUCGCUGUUUUACACCCACACACGCCAGCCAGCCAGCCAGUCAGCCCAAGAAUCCGUGUGGGAGUGUUUUUGAAAUGGCAUCGUCCUAUAACUUGGGAAUUCCGGUGCGGCACGGGCCACGUCUAGAUGACGAAAUCUGGCGCGACAAGUACAAGCAGCAAUCAUAUGCUGCUCUUGAAAUGGGCAAAAAUAAAGAGAGAGAGAGAGGCGCCUUUCUACUAUACUGAAGAAAAAGAGCGAUGAAUUUCCAUCAGCAUCGCUCGAAUUCCUCGACAACUCGGCACCGGCAACGAUUUCUCUCCCUUUAACUUUCCUCCUCCCUUUUCUGUCCGCAUCCAAAACUUCUUCCCUAUUCUCUCUGGCUCGUUUUUUUAAAAAGGUUAUCUUUUGCCCAGCUUGAGACUCCUCCCCUCCAUCGCGAGUCCCUCCACUUGCAAGGGCGGUGCAAUCAUCUUAUAGAGCUGCCGCGUAAAACGCUUGUACAAAAUCCCUGCCAGACACAAAUCUAACAUGCUCCUCUUAUAACAACUUAGAUAUAUAAUACAAUCAUUCGAGUGGGGCACUAAAACGUCAAAUCCUUUCGGGCAAUAGGCCAAAUCAGCCAUUCAACGUAAUCUACGGACGGACAGUGAAACCAAUCGAUCGAUUGGUUGAGGCCCUCCUCCUCUUCUCCAAAUGGUCCCCUCCAACAAAUCAUUACCUUAAAUUACCUUUAAGGCCAUUAACAUGAAGGUAAAAAGCACUGAACAAAAGGGGGAAAACCAAACGAAAUGAAAUCAGUAAUGGAAGUUUCGAGAUGCGCUUGGAUGGAAGGAAGGACGCGAAAAAAAAGAAAAGAAAAGACAAAAAUGCUUGUCGGUGGUGUAGAGAGAAAAUACUGCAGUCGUAAGAUGACACGAUCUGGCACUCAAGUUAUAAGAUGGCUUGGGUUUUCUCUGCCACUGGCUGGCUGGUUCAAAUAACCCUCGAACUCGAGAGAUGGAAUAACCCGAAAUGGAAAACGACAAAGUGUACGGGGGUAUAUGGCGUCUUUCUCACGCCACCAUGAGAGCUGUGUGCAGCACCAAAUAGAAAUAUUCGUCUUCUCCCCCCUCCUCCUUUCCCCCCUCCCUCCAAUCUCAGAGUUGCACCCACUAUACACUGGUGUGUGUAGGUAAGUAUAAGAAGAUUUAUUGCGUGUAUGCGGAGCUUCUUCUUCCUCCUCCCCAUCCGGAGCAACAGAGAAAUGUAGACACAACAGGAAAAGUGCGGGAAGGGAGGCAAGAAGAAGGAUGGAAGAAACAGCCACUGGAUACAUUAACAUCCGCAUUGUGUUACAAAACGCGGACCGCAAGGAGGGGUGGGAAGGGGAGGGAAAAUAAGAAAAAUCUCCUGCUGCUCCGGCCGGACCAUCUCGGUAAUGUUCACCAUUGGAGAGCAACGGCGGAGAAUGCGUCAUAUCAAUAAGCAAUUCAAAAAAAGUAUCAGAUCCAAACGAGAUAAGAUUAUAUUAAAGGGACCCCCCAGCAAAUGCGAGUCUUGUUCCGAGCUGGAUAGUUUCAGGUCGUAAAACAUGUCAGACCUUUCCUCCCUCCGCACUUUGAUUUCCAGUAGAAGAAAAGGACAAAAAACAUUGUAGUGCGUACAAGUUAAACUUAACGAGACCAAAAAAAGAAAAAAGAAAAAGAGAGUGGGGUCUCCUGGAUUUUCUUUCUUGAAAUCAAAUUGACGCCGGAUCGCAUUCCCAACCGAACAGAUCACCGCCGCCGCCAUCCCUUACGCAAGACUGCGACUGCUGGAAUGUUUUAAUGACCGGCAGAUUGGCCGCAUAGUUUGUUUGCGCGCCCAAGCACCCGGUGACGGAAUCCAGUCAAAACUAAUGCCAAAUAAGGCCCGAAGCCAGUCAACAACAACAACAACAAAAAAAACAGGUAGCAUGUCAUGACUUACCAUAUGCAAAUUGUCCAAUUCUCCCAGCCAGGUGUUGAGUAGUGCUUGAGGAUCAUCCCACGCCAGUUCCGGUUUAGCCGCUGCCGGUUUAGCGACAGAGUCUUCCGUUUCCGAAUCCGGCUCGGCUUCACUGUUGGACAGGUAGCAAGCUUCUUCGUAAAAAUCCGACAUGGUUCUCCUCAAUUCGGAUUUGACUUGGCGGAUUAAACCCAAAUCCUGUAAACCUAUAAAACUCUUUAAAAAAAAAGAAAAAAACAACGUAAGUACAAAGUUUUCCCAAAAACAAACUAACAACACAUUGUGUGAAUGUCAAAUGGCGUUGUUGUAAAAUGCAAAUCACAAAUGUCGG
Molecule: long non-coding RNA, 7573 nt
Organism: Daphnia pulex (common water flea)
Lineage: Eukaryota; Metazoa; Arthropoda; Branchiopoda; Diplostraca; Daphniidae
Exons: 2
Source: RefSeq, a predicted model, not a curated record